Long non-coding RNA from Silurus meridionalis, 662 nucleotides. RefSeq lists it as uncharacterized. Lineage: Eukaryota; Metazoa; Chordata; Actinopteri; Siluriformes; Siluridae. The record is from RefSeq and is a predicted model, not a curated record. The transcript has 3 exons.
UGCAGCACCUGCUAUACAAAUCUCCGCAAGACUAAAAAGAUGGAGGGCCUCAAAAACAGCCUGGAUAAUGCAUGGGGGCAGGGGGUCUGGAAAAACCGGAAUGCGUCACAAGUGGUUUCUUCUGCUCAAGUUGCAGUGCAGAAACUUGCUGCCUUGGGCUAUAUGCCCAUUUUAUUUAUGGGCAGAAAAAAAAAAGAAUUAGUUGAUCGCCGAUAUAAAUUCUGGAAUACCACUCAAUGAGGACACACGACCUUUUGUUGACGCCAUAAAGAAGGCUUAUGAGUAUUUACUUAAAAAGCAAGGACCCCAGAUGUCUCCUUUACAUCCCCACCCUGACCAGCAUAUCCAAACCCCAACCCAGCCUGACCAGCAGAUCCAGCCCAAUCCUGACCAGCAGAUCCAAACCCCAAUUCAGCCUGACCAGUAGAUUCAACACCAUUCUGACUAGCAGAUUCAUACCCAUCCUGACCAGCAGAUCCAAACCCCAACCCAGCCUGACCAGCAGAUUCAGCACCAUUCUGACCAGCAGAUCCAGACCCAGACUGAAGCUCAACAGAUUGAUGAUGAUGUUAUCCUCAACCUCUAUUUUUUGCCCUCUCCAUCCCAUGUUCAGACUCACUCUGAAGAUCAAUAACUCCAGGUCCAGCCACAGCCCCAGCAAA